ACAACCUCUGUGGUGUUUGGUGAAAGGACUAAUACAUAUUGCCCUUGCUGAAACGAACUUCAACUACACCCUUAAAUCUUUUGUUAAAAGGAGAUAGUCUGCUUACAAUUUUUUUUUUAACAUUUUAAGUAAACAUGUAUUAACUGCAAGCUAUUUUCUACGUGAACAAAAUGAAGAUGUAUAUCGUUACAGAUUCACUGCUAUACUAGACUUAAAAAAGAAAAAGAGAUAAGAUUACUAUAGCAAUUCUGUUUGUAUGAGAAAUGGUAUUGGCAUUUUUAUUUGAUAAUUUCUUAAUCCUAAAGAAACAUCAUUGCGUGCGGACAGAAAAAAAGUGAUGAUAAUCAAAAUCAGUAAAUCAGUUUUUUUAAAGUCCUUUGAAAAACGCAAAUCAUAGUUAAGCACCAAGAAAAGGAGAGUUGUGGUAAAGAGCUACAAAUUUCAAAAGAAGAGGAGACAGAUCAAGAAACUUAAUCGGACUUACUUAAAAAGAUCCUCCUUCAAUACAAUACCUAAUUCAUUGCAAACAGGCUUAAGCUCCUUAACAUACGCUUGGUACUGUUCUUUGGUUGGUAGUUUCACUUUAAUACCUUCGAAAAUCCUUACGGCGGUAGGGAAAUCGUUAACACGACGAGCAGCACGUAAAGCUUGUUCAAUAACAUCAGAAGAAGGCACGAUAUCGUAGGCAAAACAAUUAUUUAGGCCUCUUUGGAGCUCAAAUUGAUCCUGAACAUUUGAAAAGAAAUCGUUAUACCUACGUAGUUAGUAAACAGUAAAACAAGAAAUUUUAAAUAAAGGAAAAGCAGAGCAGAGCAGAAGUAAGAAUAAGCUUCCAAAGAAGGAAAAAUGGUCAAUUUUUCUUGUGUAAAAACUAAAAACGUGAAAACUGAGAAAAGAACAAAAAAUAGCAGACAAAUAAAUAGCUAUGA
This is a non-coding RNA of Schizosaccharomyces pombe (fission yeast), 929 nucleotides long. The record is from the annotation of a GenBank genome assembly. Lineage: Eukaryota; Fungi; Ascomycota; Schizosaccharomycetes; Schizosaccharomycetales; Schizosaccharomycetaceae.